CCUACGGGAUGCAGCAGUGAGGAAUAUUGGUCAAUGGACGAGAGUCUGAACCAGCCAAGUAGCGUGAAGGAUGACUGCCCUAUGGGUUGUAAACCUCUUUUGUCGGGGAGCAAAGCGAGUCACGUGUGACUCAUUGAGAGUACCCGAAGAAAAAGCAUCGGCUAACUCCGUGCCAGCAGCCGCGGUAAUACGGAGGAUGCGAGCGUUAUCCGGAUUGAUUGGGUUUAAAGGGUGCGCAGGCGGAGGUGCAAGUCAGCGGUCAAAUUGCGGGGCUCAACCCCGUACUGCCGUUGAAACUGCAUCCCUUGAGUGCGCGAGAAGUAUGCGGAAUGCGUGGUGUAGCGGUGAAAUGCAUAGAUAUCACGCAGAACUCCGAUUGCGAAGGCAGCAUACCGGCGCGCAACUGACGCUCAUGCACGAAAGCGUGGGUAUCGAACAGGAUUAGAUACCCGAGUAGUC
RNAcentral lists this ribosomal RNA (459 nucleotides) under uncultured bacterium. RNAcentral describes it as "partial 16S ribosomal RNA". It matches the Rfam family "Bacterial small subunit ribosomal RNA", at positions 338 to 795 of the family's 1533-position model. The record is from RNAcentral.